RNAcentral lists this ribosomal RNA (508 nucleotides) under uncultured Bacteroidales bacterium. RNAcentral's name for it is "bacterial SSU rRNA". It matches the Rfam family "Bacterial small subunit ribosomal RNA", at positions 28 to 523 of the family's 1533-position model. The record is from RNAcentral. Lineage: Bacteria; Pseudomonadati; Bacteroidota; Bacteroidia; Bacteroidales.
GAUGAACGCUAGCUACAGGCUUAACACAUGCAAGUCGAGGGGAAACGACAUCGAAAGCUUGCUUUUGAUGGGCGUCGACCGGCGCACGGGUGAGUAACGCGUAUCCAACCUGCCCACCACUUGGGGAUAACCUUGCGAAAGUAAGACUAAUACCCAAUGACGUCUCUAGAAGACAUCUGAAAGAGAUUAAAGAUUUAUCGGUGAUGGAUGGGGAUGCGUCUGAUUAGCUUGUUGGCGGGGUAACGGCCCACCAAGGCAACGAUCAGUAGGGGUUCUGAGAGGAAGGUCCCCCACAUUGGAACUGAGACACGGUCCAAACUCCUACGGGAGGCAGCAGUGAGGAAUAUUGGUCAAUGGGCGAGAGCCUGAACCAGCCAAGUAGCGUGCAGGAAGACGGCCCUAUGGGUUGUAAACUGCUUUUGUACGGGAAUAAAGUUGGCCACGUGUGACCAUUUGCAUGUACCGUACGAAUAAGGACCGGCUAAUUCCGUGCCAGCAGCCGCGGUAA